CAGUUUUGGCGGAGCCAUCCUUGGGAUACCACCCUUGUAGUACUGGGACUCUAACCAUAGGCCAUGAAUCUGGUCUUGGGACACUGUCAGGUGGGCAGUUUGACUGGGGCGGUCGCCUCCCAAAAGGUAACGGAGGCGCUCAAAGGUUCUCUCAGUACGGUCGGAAAUCGUACGUAGAGUGUAAAGGCAAAAGAGAGCUUGAUUGCAAGACAUACAGGUCGAGCAAGGAUGAAAAUCGGACUUAGUGAUCCGGUGGUUCUGCGUGGAAGGGCCAUCGCUCAACGGAUAAAAGCUACCCUGGGGAUAACAGGCUUAUCUCCCCCAAGAGUCCACAUCGACGGGGAGGUUUGGCACCUCGAUGUCGGCUCAUCACAUCCUGGGGCUGUAGUAGGUCCCAAGGGUUGGGCUGUUCGCCCAUUAAAGUGGUACGCGAGCUGGGUUCAGAACGUCGGGAGACAGUUCGGUCCCUAUCCGUCGCAGGCGUAGGAAAUUUGAGAAGACCUGUCCUUAGUACGAGAGGACCGGGAUGGACGUACCUCUGGUGUACCAGUUGUCCUGCCAAGGGCAUGGCUGGGUAGC
Molecule: ribosomal RNA, 579 nt
Filed under: Clostridioides difficile
Lineage: Bacteria; Bacillati; Bacillota; Clostridia; Peptostreptococcales; Peptostreptococcaceae
Description: bacterial LSU rRNA
Rfam family: Bacterial large subunit ribosomal RNA
Source: RNAcentral